UGAGGAAUAUUGGUCAAUGGUCGGGAGACUGAACCAGCCAAGCCGCGUGAGGGAUGAAGGUGCUAAGCAUUGUAAACCUCUUUUGUCAGGGAACAAAGGCAUCCACGAGUGGAUGUGUGAGUGUACCUGAAGAAAAAGCAUCGGCUAACUCCGUGCCAGCAGCCGCGGUAAUACGGAGGAUGCGAGCGUUAUCCGGAUUUAUUGGGUUUAAAGGGUGCGUAGGCGGCCUGUUAAGUCAGCGGUAAAAGCCCGGGCUCAACCCGCGCGCGCUGUAAGCAUGCUGGCUGGCAAUUGGCAUGGCAGAGGUAGUGCGGAAUGCGCGGUGUAGCGGUGAAAUGCUCAGAUAUCGCGCAGAACUCCGAUUGCGAAGGCAGCAUGCCGGCGCCACACUGACGCUGAGGCACGAAAGCGUGGGGAUCAAACAGGAUUAGAUACC
This 436-nucleotide ribosomal RNA is filed under the name uncultured bacterium. RNAcentral's name for it is "bacterial SSU rRNA". It matches the Rfam family "Bacterial small subunit ribosomal RNA", at positions 355 to 786 of the family's 1533-position model. The record is from RNAcentral.